RNAcentral lists this non-coding RNA (26 nucleotides) under Homo sapiens (human). The record is from RNAcentral. Lineage: Eukaryota; Metazoa; Chordata; Mammalia; Primates; Hominidae.
GAGUAUGUAGAAUAAGCAUCGUGUGU